AAAAAAAAAAACUCGGCCGCACCCCAGUCCGCAGCCUGCCCCAAAUCACAACCUCAUCCAAAUCGACCUACCCUACUUCCACCCCGGCCACCUCGCCGCCGAGCACCUUCCGCUGUGGCCGACCACCAUUCGCCACCCCAAGCAUCCCACCGCAGUGCCUCCCCGACUAUUGUCGCCAGCCACCCUUCGCCUCUUCGUCCCAAACUAUCUGCACAAGGACGGGAAGGGAGGGAGACCCGAUGGGCGGAGGAGGUCGAAGCCGUUGCCCACACCGCGGAUCUGCCGCGGGGAUGCGGGAAGAAAGGACGCGGUUGCGCGGCCCCCGGAUCCGGCGAAGGACGUGCGCAAGAGGCGGCCAACGGGGCGCGGGGCACAACUCCAGAUCCGGGCGGCCCGAGCAGAGCGUGAAGCUAGGAAGCGGGCAUAUGCUUUGGGUGGCCGCCUUCGGUGCAGCCGGCGGCAACGGCAUGGCUGUAGUUUGGCGCCUAGGUUUGGGUGCCCCAGUGGCACCCUUGCAAGUGACAGGAAGUGAGCGACCAGGAACCAGAAGAUGCCGGCAGUCUGGUAACAUAUGGAUUUCUCCUCUCUUCUAGUAGAUAAUCCAGAUUGUUUUGUCUUUCGUGAGCUUUUGUGCUGAUGUGUGAUCCAAAAUUUGGACGCAUAUCAAUUGUUUGACCCAUGUGCUAGAAGGAUCUGGUGUAGUUUGUUUAAUCAAUGAUAUACCAGUUUACAUGUACUUGGGAAGUUUUCAUCAGCUGUACUUGCAUAUUGGAGUGAAGGUGCAAAAGUUUAGCAAUUCUUCAUUUUAUUUCUUUAAUUCUGUAAGUUGUGUUGAAAGUUGUCAAUGAUUACAAUUAGAAUCGAAGCAAUGCUACUUUUACCCCCUCCGUUAAAAAAUGCUACUUGUACUGACUUUGUCAAGCAUUAUAGUGUAUAGAUAAGUGUAUAUCUGCAGAGUGUUAUGUAGAUGGCUUGAAACUUCUUUAUGGGUAAUUGAAAAGGACGAACAACUAAACUGUAUCUCAUAGAUGAACACUACUAUUUACUGUCUCACCCGAGCUAGUAUUAUUGUAGCAGGCAUUGCAUUGUCUAAAAUGGAUAUGCAGAAUUACCUAGCAAUCAGGUCUUGUACAAUCUGGAUAAAUAUGGAGUGACAUUUGCGAGCUGUGGCAUGGCCUGCACUAACGUUCACAAGGCUGGUGUCUCUUUUAAAAAACCAUGCAUUUAGUUGUUGUUUGCUUUGACCUGAUCUGGUAGCAAGUGUUUUUUAUGCAUCUUUAGUGAAGAAGUUUUUGAGUGGCUGUCUGCUCGGAGCUACCGGAAGAGCAGCUAGCCAACGCACAAAGACCAAGGCGGAGAAUGAAGCUAGAAGCGAGACAGAAUACCCGAGGAAGGUCGACCUUGAGACUUACUUGAGCCACGAGAAUAUUUCCCUUGAGUUCGAGAGGAUGUUCAGUUGCUUCAUCACUUAGCAUUAUUGACUAUGCACACUGCCUAUAAGUAGUCCGACCAAUUCAGUGAGCAGCAGCAGGGGCAGGCUGGCAGAACCUCAUCAGCCCCAUUUGCUUUGCAACCAGGAUGGACGCCACCUCAAAAUGAUCUAAUAUUUUUUCAGUCCAUUUUCCAUUUUAUCCUUUUGUAGUUUGUUUAAUUUUGGCUCCCUGAUUGGUCUUCUCCUUGUGUACAGUUUGCUCAAACAGGGAAUCGAGGACAGCAAGGACCAUUGAAGCCCGAGAUGUUUGGAAUUGGACAGUUCAAUCUCUACUUUUCUCCUCCAAUGAUUCAGUUGAGGUCUUGAGGGGCACCAUUUUUGAAGUUCGCUCUGGACCUCGAAAAAUUCAGGACCGGCCCUGUAUAUAUGUAGUGUUAUUUACUUUGUUGUUUGUAGAUGCAAGUUACCAAAUAUAGGUUAAUAUCUAGCCUGUAGUAAAUGUGAAGUUAGGAAUGAGAUUUUCCUUAUGCAUUUUCUGGUUUGUGAAGCAGCUUUUGGUAACCUGGUUCAUUUAGUCUAUUGAUGUUCAACUUUUAUACAGUUUCUUCAUUGUAUAAAUUAAAUUGCAUGCUGCCUCUGUAAUAGUAUAAGUACUAUUCCUAGCCUUACUUAUAGAACUUUGUGUAACUAUAGGUAUUUAUUUUCCUCUAAAAUAGAUUUAUAUUUCAAGGAAGCAGAUUCAUAAGUAAAAUCAUAGUAUUAUAGGCAGAACAAGUUCUUGCAAAACAUCAACAUGAAAGAGGUUUGCUGAUGGUUCUAGGACCGAUGCUCUUAGGGACCAUGAGUAUGUCCUUACCGAUGCUCGUUGGCGAUCUUCCUCUGGAAUGAGUUCCUAAUUUUCUUGUGUUGGGAUAUCCAUGCAACUAAACUUAUGAUAUAUUGUGGCAUUCUUCUCUUACAUGCAGUACUUUUGCACACUCUGGUAAUAUCCCUUUUGAUGUUCUUUUUAAUGUAACUUUGGUUAGAAAACUUGGGAGAUCUUGAUAGGAGUGAUGAACUUGAUAGAACUUGUAAUAUGGUAGCGUGGACUUCUACCACGAGUAGUUUACCCUUGUAACUUGCGAGAUCUUGAUAGGAGUGAUGCCCUUCCUUUCCUUUCAAAAUGGAAGAUAUAUUGCCUCCGCCCUAUACAUGGUACAAAACUAAUCAUCAAAUGGCAUGAGAAAUUUUGUUUAUCUGUAUGGUCUUGCAUGAUGCUAUCUUUUGAGGCACAAGCUUUUUCGGACGGAGGGAGUAUAAACAUGCAAUAUAUGCUUGGCAUGCAGUUUUCUGAUGUGUACAAGUUGUUUGACCUUGUAUUUUACUGCUUACUAUGUACUCCCUCCAUCCUAAAAUAAGUGUCUCAAGCUUAGUACAAUUUUGUACUAAAGCUAGUACAAAGUUGAGACAGUUAUUUUGGGGCGGAGGGAGUACUAUACAUCCGGAAUUGUAUUUGGAAGUGUCAAAAUUUAUCAUUUAUAAUCAUUGAUAGUUACAUUGCUAGAUAUACACACACUGAAAGUCUGAAAUAUUCUUGAAAAAGCACAUGUCAGCUGUCAUAUCUUCAUUAGAUGUUUUUAAAUCUUUUCCUGGUUUGAUGUUGAUAUUUUGUUAGUUUGUAGAUGCUGCUAGUUUGUACUUUCAAAAAUUUAAACUUGAUUUUGUUUUCUCUGCAGUACAACAAGUUGUGUCUCAAGCUUGUAAGUUCUGUUACAAGGAUGAGAUUGUUAGAAUGCUACAAAACUUCUACGUGAUAGCAGUUGUACCAGUCAACUAGGAUGUCUACAUGAUGUUUCUUGUAUUCAUGGCAGCAACAAAAUCUUGUGGCGCAAGGUUAAGCUCUGAUCUUCAAAAGCAUUGCAAGCUUGGUGAUUCUUCUGCGGGAGACAUGUGGUCCUGUUUAAAUUAUGCUGUUUCACAUGAUGGUGGCGAGUCUGUUAUUCACAAGACAUCUAAUGAAGUCAUCCAAUAAGAAGGUUCCAAACAAACAAUUUGUCUUCGUAGACAUGGCUGUAGCUGCGUGUCAAGCUCAAACCAAUUGUUUAGCUUAGUUUGAACAAAAGAAAUCUUAUUGUCCAUGUAAAUUCUGUUCAUUGAUGUAGUUGGACGCUACUGAAUGCAUGUAUGAAUGUUGUAGUACUGAAUUUUAAUCAUUAUGUGUUUGAGAUUUUCUACUGAA
This is a long non-coding RNA of Triticum dicoccoides, 3650 nucleotides long. RefSeq lists it as uncharacterized. Lineage: Eukaryota; Viridiplantae; Streptophyta; Magnoliopsida; Poales; Poaceae. The transcript is spliced from 3 exons. The record is from RefSeq and is a predicted model, not a curated record.